RNAcentral lists this unclassified non-coding RNA (316 nucleotides) under fungal sp. RNAcentral's name for it is "partial internal transcribed spacer region". The stretch from base 1 to 46 matches the Rfam family "Eukaryotic small subunit ribosomal RNA", at positions 1786 to 1831 of the family's 1831-position model. The record is from RNAcentral. Lineage: Eukaryota; Fungi.
AAGUCGUAACAAGGUCUCCGUAGGUGAACCUGCGGAGGGAUCAUUAACACAUGAAAGACACGAAAUUGCACAUGAAAAUGAGACAAGCUCGUGUUCUUUUGUUUUCCCUAUACACCCAUCUAACGUGAACUAGUAUGCCCUACUUUUCUAGCAUGAUUUUUGAAUCUGCUGUUUGUUUGCUAUUUUUAUGCAAAACCUUUUCCAAUCUUUUAAUUGAACAGUGUUCUUGUUUUAUACUAGUGUAUACUAGUAUGAACUAGCAUGUUUUCUAUAACAUAAUAGAGUACAACUCUUAGCAACGGAUAUCUUGGUUCUC